Molecule: transfer RNA, 60 nt
Filed under: Grimmia anomala
Lineage: Eukaryota; Viridiplantae; Streptophyta; Bryopsida; Grimmiales; Grimmiaceae
Also listed under: 1 other name
Description: tRNA-Thr
Source: RNAcentral
AGCCCGCUAUCGGAGUUGAACCGAUGACCAUCGCAUUACAAGUGCGGUGCUCUGACCUCU